Nicotiana tabacum (common tobacco) is the source of this 888-nucleotide long non-coding RNA. RefSeq lists it as uncharacterized. The record is from RefSeq and is a predicted model, not a curated record. NCBI's taxonomy places the organism in Eukaryota, Viridiplantae, Streptophyta, Magnoliopsida, Solanales, Solanaceae.
GUCAUCCAUUAUCAUUUCUAUUUUGGUGUCAUCUACUCUUUCUUGGUUCUUCAAUCUCUUCAUCUAAAAGAUGGUAAAUUUCUCACCAGGUAUUGUCCGCUUGAUGAAACCUUUUAAUUCACAACCACUCCACCCUUUCUUUGGUGGAGACGAGACACUUCAUGGACCAGUGGUGAUUGGUGUGAGUUGGAGUUAAUUGAUUAGCACGAAAUUAAUAAAGAGUCGCAGACAAAUAGAAUAUGUACGUGAUAAUGAAUGCAACAUUUGGACUAGCAGAAGAGAAGGUGAAAACAAAUGCAUUUCUAAGGCAAUGCACUCGGAUAUGAGAAAUCCGACCGGUUGGCCAUAGAUUCCAACCAGAGAUGAAGGCAGCGGUGGAGGUAAUGACGAGGCCGAUCUGAAUUGACGAGGCCGAUCUGAAUUGAGGAAUUUGAGGUACUAAAUUGAGGAAUUUUCAUAGCGGGUGAGAGAAGAGAGAGUACAAAGGAGAAAAUAAAUAAAUAUGAGGUCGGAUGACAGUGUUCAGACGGGUUAGGCUGGCGGUGGUUCUCCACCGAGAUUGUAACACAAGAGAGAUAGAGAGAGUUUAAGGGAGAUGGGGGAGGCGGUUAGGCUAUAGUACGAAGAUAAAAGAGGAAGAGAGGAAAAAGUUAUUUUAGGGUUAGAAAUCACUUAGAGAGGAUAUUUGCUAUAAAACCCAAUAUGCAGUUAUGUAUUAUAAUUAGUUUAAAGUGUAUUUAUUUAUGAUAAAUAUAAUGUAUAAUUUAAUUAUACCAUGUAAAAUUUUCUACUUUCUAUACCGAAAUUAUUGUCGUUUUGUACCUCAGUUUUCUACAAAAUGACCUCCUAUAGCCAAUUACAGUUUGAACAUAAGAAAAAGACCUACAA